CCAGUGGCGAACGGGUGAGUAACACGUGGGUAACCUGCCCAUCAGAAGGGGAUAACACUUGGAAACAGGUGCUAAUACCGUAUAACAAUCGAAACCGCAUGGUUUUGAUUUGAAAGGCGCUUUCGGGUGUCGCUGAUGGAUGGACCCGCGGUGCAUUAGCUAGUUGGUGAGGUAACGGCUCACCAAGGCCACGAUGCAUAGCCGACCUGAGAGGGUGAUCGGCCACAUUGGGACUGAGACUAGGCCCAAACUCCUACGGGAGGCAGCAGUAGGGAAUCUUCGGCAAUGGACGAAAGUCUGACCGAGCAACGCCGCGUGAGUGAAGAAGGUUUUCGGAUCGUAAAACUCUGUUGUUAGAGAAGAACAAGGAUGAGAGUAACUGUUCAUCCCUUGACGGUAUCUAACCAGAAAGCCACGGCUAACUACGUGCCAGCAGCCGCGGUAAUACGUAGGUGGCAAGCGUUGUCCGGAUUUAUUGGGCGUAAAGCGAGCGCAGGCGGUUUCUUAAGUCUGAUGUGAAAGCCCCCGGCUCAACCGGGGAGGGUCAUUGGAAACUGGGAGACUUGAGUGCAGAAGAGGAGAGUGGAAUUCCAUGUGUAGCGGUGAAAUGCGUAGAUAUAUGGAGGAACACCAGUGGCGAAGGCGGCUCUCUGGUCUGUAACUGACGCUGAGGCUCGAAAGCGUGGGGAGCAAACAGGAUUAGAUACCCUGGUAGUCCACGCCGUAAACGAUGAGUGCUAAGUGUUGGAGGGUUUCCGCCCUUCAGUGCUGCAGCUAACGCAUUAAGCACUCCGCCUGGGGAGUACGACCGCAAGGUUGAAACUCAAAGGAAUUGACGGGGGCCCGCACAAGCGGUGGAGCAUGUGGUUUAAUUCGAAGCAACGCGAAGAACCUUACCAGGUCUUGACAUCCUUUGACCACUCUAGAGAUAGAGC
This 935-nucleotide ribosomal RNA is filed under the name Enterococcus faecalis. RNAcentral describes it as "bacterial SSU rRNA". It matches the Rfam family "Bacterial small subunit ribosomal RNA", at positions 92 to 1012 of the family's 1533-position model. The record is from RNAcentral. Lineage: Bacteria; Bacillati; Bacillota; Bacilli; Lactobacillales; Enterococcaceae.